ACACGCUGGCGGCGUGCUUACACAUGCAAGUCGAACGAUGAUCCCACUUGUGGGUGGAUUAGUGGCGAACGGGUAUAACGUGAGUAACCUGCCCUUGACUCUGGGAUAAGCCUGAGAAACUGGGUCUAAUACCGGAUAUGACCUUCCAUCGCAUGGUAGGUUGGUGGAAAGCUUUUGUGGUUUUGGAUGGACUCGCGGCCUAUCAGCUUGUUGGUGGGGUAAUGGCCUACCAAGGCGACGACGGGUAGCCGGCCUGAGAGGGUGACCGGCCACACUGGGACUGAGACACGGCCCAGACUCCUACGGGAGGCAGCAGUGGGGAAUAUUGCACAAUGGGCGCAAGCCUGAUGCAGCGACGCCGCGUGAGGGAUGACGGCCUUCGGGUUGUAAACCUCUUUCAGUAGGGAAGAAGCGAAAGUGACGGUACCUGCAGAAGAAGCGCCGGCUAACUACGUGCCAGCAGCCGCGGUAAUACGUAGGGCGCAAGCGUUAUCCGGAAUUAUAGGGCGUAAAGAG
Molecule: ribosomal RNA, 516 nt
Filed under: uncultured Arthrobacter sp.
Lineage: Bacteria; Bacillati; Actinomycetota; Actinomycetes; Micrococcales; Micrococcaceae
Description: bacterial SSU rRNA
Rfam family: Bacterial small subunit ribosomal RNA
Source: RNAcentral